This 452-nucleotide ribosomal RNA is filed under the name uncultured bacterium. RNAcentral describes it as "bacterial SSU rRNA". It matches the Rfam family "Bacterial small subunit ribosomal RNA", at positions 28 to 522 of the family's 1533-position model. The record is from RNAcentral.
GAUGAACGCUGGCGGUAUGCUUAACACAUGCAAGUCGAACGGAAUGCUUAGGCAUUUAGUGGCGGACGGGUGAGUAACGCGUGAGAAUCUGCAUUCAGGUCGGGGACAACCACUGGAAACGGUGGCUAAUACCGGAUGUGCCGAGAGGUGAAAGGCUUGCCGCCUGAGAAAGAGCUCGCGUCUGAUUAGCUAGUAGGGGGUGUAAGAGACCACCUAGGCGACGAUCAGUAGCUGGUCUGAGAGGAUGAUCAGCCACACUGGGACUGAGACACGGCCCAGACUCCUACGGGAGGCAGCAGUGGGGAAUUUUCCGCAAUGGGCGAAAGCCUGACGGAGCAAUACCGCGUGAGGGAGGAAGGCUCUUGGGUUGUAAACCUCUUUUCUCAGGGAAGAAAAAAAUGACGGUACCUGAGGAAUAAGCAUCGGCUAACUCCGUGCCAGCCGCCGCCGUA